AAAUAUGAGGGUGUGGUUUGCUGGCAACAGC
RNAcentral lists this ribosomal RNA (31 nucleotides) under Exserohilum rostratum. Its description in RNAcentral is "partial 18S ribosomal RNA". The record is from RNAcentral. Lineage: Eukaryota; Fungi; Ascomycota; Dothideomycetes; Pleosporales; Pleosporaceae.